This 609-nucleotide ribosomal RNA is filed under the name uncultured archaeon. RNAcentral's name for it is "bacterial SSU rRNA". It matches the Rfam family "Archaeal small subunit ribosomal RNA", at positions 5 to 622 of the family's 1478-position model. The record is from RNAcentral.
CGGUUGAUCCCGCCGGACCCGACUGCUAUCAGAGUGAGAUUAAGCCAUGCGAGUCAACGUAGCAAUACGUGGCAUACGGCUCAGUAACACGUAGUCAACAUAACCAAAGGACGUGGAUAAACUCGGGAAACUGAGGCUAAACCGCAAUAGAUCAAGAUACCUGGAAUGGUUUUUGAUCAAAAUCUAUAUGGCCUUUGGAUUGGACUGCGUCCGAUCAGGCUGUUGGUGAGGUAAUGGCCCACCAAACCUAUAACCGGUACGGGCUCUGAGAGGAGGAGCCCGGAGAUGGGUACUGAGAUAAGGACCCAGGCCCUAUGGGGCGCAGCAGGCGCGAAACCUCUGCAAUAGGCGAAAGCUUGACAGGGUUAUUCUGAGUGACUUUCGUUAAGAAAGUCUUUUGACACCUCUAAAAAUGGUGUAGAAUAAGGGGUGGGCAAGUCUGGUGUCGGCCGCCGCGGUAAUACCAGCACCCCGAGUGGUCGGGACGAUUAUUGGACCUAAAGCAUCCGUAGCCGGCCUUACAAGUCCUCCGUUAAAUCCAGCUGCUUAACAGAUGGGCUGCGGAGGAUACUAUAAGACUAGGAGGCAGGAGAGGCAAGCGGUACUCAA